AACCUCCGCAAUGUGAGAAAUCGCGACGGGGGGAUCCCAAGUGCCAUUCUUAACGGGAUGGCUUUUCUUAAGUGUAAAAAGCUUUUGGAAUAAGGGCUGGGCAAGACCGGUGCCAGCCGCCGCGGUAACACCGGCAGCUCUAGUGGUAGCAGUUUUUAUUGGGCCUAAAGCGUCCGUAGCCGGUUUAAUAAGUCUCUGGUGAAAUCCUGUAGCUUAACUGUGGGAAUUGCUGGAGAUACUAUUAGACUUGAGACCGGGAGAGGUUAGAGGUACUCCCAGGGUAGAGGUGAAAUUCUGUAAUCCUGGGAGGACCGCCUGUUGCGAAGGCGUCUAACUGGAACGGUUCUGACGGUGAGGGACAAAAGUUAGGGGCGCGAACCGGAUUAGAUACCCGGGUAGUCCUAACCGUAAACGAUGCGGACUUGGUGUUGGGGUGGCUUUGAGCUGCUCCAGUGCCGAAGGGAAGCUGUUAAGUCCGCCGCCUGGGAAGUACGGUCGCAAGACUGAAACUUAAAGGAAUU
Molecule: ribosomal RNA, 521 nt
Filed under: uncultured bacterium
Lineage: Bacteria
Description: bacterial SSU rRNA
Rfam family: Archaeal small subunit ribosomal RNA
Source: RNAcentral